UACAGAGGGUGCGAGCGUUAAUCGGAAUUACUGGGCGUAAAGCGCGCGUAGGCGGCUUUGCAAGUCGGGUGUGAAAUCCCCAGGCUUAACCUGGGAACUGCAUUCGAGACUGCAUUGCUAGAGUAUGGGAGAGGGAAGUGGAAUUUCCGGUGUAGCGGUGAAAUGCGAAGAUAUCGGAAGGAACAUCAGUGGCGAAAGCGACUUCCUGGACCAAUACUGACGCUCAUGUGCGAAAGCGUGGGGAGCAAACAGG
This 253-nucleotide ribosomal RNA is filed under the name uncultured bacterium. RNAcentral describes it as "partial 16S ribosomal RNA". It matches the Rfam family "Bacterial small subunit ribosomal RNA", at positions 524 to 776 of the family's 1533-position model. The record is from RNAcentral.